This 609-nucleotide non-coding RNA is filed under the name unclassified sequences. The record is from Rfam.
UAUUUGAAUCAUGCUUAUGAUUAACUCGGUGAAUAAAGUGUGUCAGCACUCCGAGACGCACAGUAGUUCCCGCUGGAUUUACGAGGGAUACCUUUUAUUGUCCAGGCGGCAGUGAUGCAGUGAUGUAUUGCUGGGAGGCGGAAACUGCCAACGAAAAUGUGUGUUGCCAAGAGUUAUCGCUACAAAAAGCACGGAACUUUCGGGCGCAGCAAUAGACGCUCCUGUGGAGAAUAAUCCUCAAGGGUGCUGGUGUGGCAACCAGUACAACCGGAGGAAAUGCCAACAAUGCGCUCCUGUCUUGAUGUCGAAGAAACUCGACUAUAACGAAAGUCGCCGGUUAAAGUAGCCGUAGGACAGUUUUGGUGUUUGAUCUUUAAUACGAUAUGAUGAAAAAGAAAUUGUAUGAAACUAUCAAAUUUUCUGAACGAACGGUGAAAUUUGCGGGUAAACAAUCCCGCGCAGGAAUUGGCCUAAUACAGUUCGCUGUGUAAGGCUGGGGUAAGAAGUUAAAGGUCGCUCCUUGAAGCUCAGACUUAUCUCCCUGGUGGCUGAACAUUGUGAGAAGGUAAUGGAGGUAGAGCGAAGGCUCAAUGAUAGGUAUGAUUCAAG